Molecule: long non-coding RNA, 232 nt
Filed under: Vigna radiata
Lineage: Eukaryota; Viridiplantae; Streptophyta; Magnoliopsida; Fabales; Fabaceae
Description: long non-coding RNA (VRAD_LNC010664)
Source: RNAcentral
AACUAAGUAAUAACAUUUGAUAAUAGUGAUCAUGAUUGCAAAUACUAAAUGUUUCUGUUAACAAUAUUCUAUAUUCGUUUUUAGAUAUAUUAAUUACUGUGAUAUGAAUUUUAAGUUAAGUAUAAAUUUGUGUUAAAUUAAAAAGUACUAUUUUUUUUGCUUAAGAAAAAUAGAGUGAUUUCAUUUAUCAAAAUAGUUUGAUGUGUUAAUCGGUUGAAGGUGAGUGUGGCUG